GAAGACGUCGGCGGCAGGCUCAACACAUGCAAGUCGAACGAACUCUUCGGAGUUAGUGGCGGACGGGUGAGUAACACGUGGGAACGUGCCUUUAGGUUCGGAAUAACUCAGGGAAACUUGUGCUAAUACCGAAUGUGCCCUUCGGGGGAAAGAUUUAUCGCCUUUAGAGCGGCCCGCGUCUGAUUAGCUAGUUGGUGAGGUAAAGGCUCACCAAGGCGACGAUCAGUAGCUGGUCUGAGAGGAUGAUCAGCCACAUUGGGACUGAGACACGGCCCAAACUCCUACGGGAGGCAGCAGUGGGGAAUCUUGCGCAAUGGGCGAAAGCCUGACGCAGCCAUGCCGCGUGAAUGAUGAAGGUCUUAGGAUUGUAAAAUUCUUUCACCGGGGACGAUAAUGACGGUACCCGGAGAAGAAGCCCCGGCUAACUUCGUGCCAGCAGCCGCGGUAAUA
Molecule: ribosomal RNA, 450 nt
Filed under: Brevundimonas sp.
Lineage: Bacteria; Pseudomonadati; Pseudomonadota; Alphaproteobacteria; Caulobacterales; Caulobacteraceae
Description: bacterial SSU rRNA
Rfam family: Bacterial small subunit ribosomal RNA
Source: RNAcentral